AUGAGAAUAAAGAUAACAGAUAAAGAUAAAGAUAAAAUAAAAUUAACGGAAAAUAAAAACUAAGAUAAAUGUAGAGAACUGUAUAGAGGAUGAAUAUGUAUAAAUAAAGAUAAAUAUUGUUGUUGUUAUACAGUGGAUAAAUGACAUUAGCAGAAAUUAGCAGUUAAUUAAAUUAAAUUACUGCAUUUAAGUGGUGGCUCAAGUAAUUGCACAGGUUUGCAAAUUAUUAAAGCACAGUGCUACCACUCCUUCCCUUCUGUCCGCUUUCCUAUUUCCCUAUUUCCCUAUAUUCUUUCCCUAUUUCCUCUGUUUAUGCAUGCUGAAUGUCUAGGCCUACUGAAUUAAUCACCUGCCCACUUUAUUGAUCAUUUAAGUUUCAAUUAUGUGCACGAGCGAGGACAGUUCAUUGCCAACAGCUGUCUGGACGGCGUUCGUUUUUCUGCUGAUAACUUUCCAACGAACUAAAAGAUGACAGACCACUGGAAUAUUGAUGAUGUAUGCAAAUGGCUCCAAAAAUUAACUUAAUCGAUGCAAAAGAGGCCUUCAGAGGUAAUGGAAAGCUAUAAAUGUCCAGUCUGUGAUGUGGUGAAAGUUCAACUGUCAAAAUACCUGCAGCACCUACAGCUAUUGCAUCAUCAUCAGCCCGAUUUUAGCAUUGUCUGCAAUAUAGAGGGAUGCAAGAGGAGUUAUAAAACUGUUCCAAGUUUUAGAACCCACAUCUACAGAAAACAUACAGCUACUCUCUGGAGGCCUACUGAUGAUCAUUUUCAGAAUGUAACUCUUUCAGAGGAGACUGAAGAGGAUGAAGUGGAUGACGUAGAAGACUCAGAAGACUCGCAGUCAGUCCAUGAAAACAGUUUGCCUGACUUAAAUACCCUGUUGUAAGGGCUACAGAAGCAUGUGGCACUUUUCAUCUUAAAUCUUCAAGAGAAACAUCUACUCCCUAAAGUUAAAAGAGACUAUCUCUUCACUCCGUUACACAUUCCAUAUGAACAGGAUAUGACCCCCGCUGCUUGUCAGGGUACUUGGAUAUUUCUUUAAGACACACCAGCUUGCCACGCCUCAUUGUGUAGCUAUAAAGCACCUGUGCCGGCGUGUAAUCACUGAUUGUUUGAGCGAAACAUGUCUCUGAGCGGCCCAAGGACUGGAGAGAUAGUCUCUUCACUCAGAGAACCAAGGUUACAAUGUAACCAUACGUUCUCUAUCGUCUCGAGACUAUCUCUCCACUCCGUUACAUAUUCCAUAUGUACGGGGUAGAUCUUUAAGACACCCCGUGAGGAGACGGUGCAACCCAAAAUCCCAUGUGCAACAAACAAACUUUUUACAAAUGUACACUAUAUACAACUCCCCGGAGUAGGCCCUGCAAGGCGCUAGGGCCGGCCAUGGGAGGGAAGGGGCUGCCGGGGAAGCCCACAAGGGGGACAGGCAAGGGCCCCGCAAGACGCAAAGGCCAGCCUGUUCACGGAGCAGCCGCUCAAUCAGCCCGCAAGACGCAAGGCUGAGGGGGAGACAGAAUGCCUACCGUCACGCCCACCACACGCUCCCCAAAGGAGGGGCUGGCAGCCACAUUCAACCAGUAGAACCUAGUAAAGGUUGACUGAGACGACCACGUCGCAGCGGAGCAUAUGGAAGCAAGGGAAGCCCCUCGCCACAAGGCCCAUGAGGCAGCCACACCCCGAGUGGAGUGUGCCCGGACCCCUAGUGGAACAGGCACACCUGACAGCGCAUAAGCCUGUCAGAUCAUGUCCACAACCCAGUGCGACAGCCUGGAUUUUGACAGAGGCCUGCCCAAACACCCAUGGUCGUAACAAACAAAAAGCUGAUCGGACUUCCGGACCGCCUGAGUACGCCGAAUGUAUGCCGUCAAGGCCCUGACCAGGCAUAGUGCGGACUGGCUCUGCUCAACCUCCUAGCCAGCGCUAGGCGAGGAGAGGGACCGAAGCUCAACUGACUGAGCCAGGUGGAACUCAGUCAGGACCGUAGGCAGGAAAGCUGGGUUGGGGCGGAGAGCCACACUCGAGCUGUCUGGGGAAAACCGACAGCAGUCACCAUGCACCGACAAGGCAUAGAGUUCACUCACCCUUCUAGCUGAAGUGACGGUGAGCAGAAAGGUGGUUUUCAUGGAAAGCCAUUUGAGGUCAGCACCCCCAAGAGGUUCGAAGGGGGAACGCUGAAGGGCCCCAAGGAUGAUGUCCAAGUCCCAAGGGGGAACCGCCGGACCGGCGGUACGCACAGUAAGUCGCUGGGCCCCUCGAAGAAACCGGGAAAUGAGCACACAGUCCUCCGUACUCAGUGCAAAUUCCCCGAUGCGCACUGCCUUGCUGCCACCAACCCUCGCAGUGUUACAGCAGCCUUCUGUGCCUCAAGCUGGGACUGCAAGAACCGCAGGAUCUCCUGAGCCGAGGCCAAAUAAGGGGCCACCUGGUGAGACACACACCAGACCAGGUGCUCGCCCAGACCAGGUGCACGGUGUGUAGCUACCCCACCGAGCGCGUCAGCUCACGAGCCGCGAGCAAUACGCCGGGGAGAGGGCACCGCUGCCAGGAGCCAGAGGCAGAUAAUGGCUCGCUAAGACAGGACAGAAAGAGUUCUGUACAGCAAUCCAGGGAGGCUGCCAGAGACAGAUGCCCCAACUUACUCUGGAAACCUUACUGGAGUGCCUGGGAAAUAAGUUCAAGAAGGAGAGGUCUCCUUUAUUGCACUUAAAAACAGUCCAGGAGAUGAAAGAAAAGUUUGGUGCCAAAAGACAGAGAAGAGGGGACCACCUGCCUUUGGAGGACCUAGCUGGACAACAGUGCGCAAAAAGGCGAAGGAUUGACGAUCCAAUCCAGAUAUCGUCCGGGGAUCUUGAUCCAACACAAGAGAAGUCGUUGGGGAUGAAUUGAGUUUCAGGGAGCACAUAAAUGCUAUCAAUAUUGAGCUGUGUCAUUGACAGCCAGACAUCCCGAACAUUAAGGACAGAAUGAAGCGCUCGCGACAUAAGAGAGUUGAGCACAUGGGCAAACCAACUGAGGAGGUGAUGGAGAUGUUCCCUUUUCUGCAGGUGCCUCUGCAUAUGCAUCAUGAAAUGAGGUUGCGUUUUGGCUAGGACUUGGAGCUAAAUCUUCAAGAUGCUGUUAAUGUGAUGACACCCAACAUUAUAAGGGUGGCUCGAAGUGGGAGUCAGAGGGGCCUUCUGUCAUGCCUGCUGGGAAGUGAGGCUAACAAAGAUGACCUGGAAAAGAGUGCAGCAAUGCUGAUUCUGCCUGCCCUUUUCAAGGAGAGUGCUAAGUUUCUUUACUGUUUAGAUGAGUAACCAGCGAGCUCAUUCCCAACCAUCAUCUUCCAUGAUGCAGGGAAUCCCCUUCUUGCUGCAAAAGCAUCAAUAAAGAUGGAUGGAGUGACCAUCACAAGUGGGAACCUGGAUGUGCCACAGGCUCUGCAGUGUCUGCUUGAGGUGUAUUUCCUGUUUGGCGUGGAGUACCCCAAAUAGAUGGAACACUAUUGGUUCAAAAUAAGAAAUGAUAAGAAAAGACUGUCUAUCCCAGUUCUCCAAAUGUACAGUCAGCUUUCACAAUGAAUUUUGAAAUUGAUGAAAAUAGUUGUUUUCAAUGAAGUUUUUGCCGAGAAUAAAAUCUUUAGCCUACA
Molecule: long non-coding RNA, 3627 nt
Organism: Acanthopagrus latus (yellowfin seabream)
Lineage: Eukaryota; Metazoa; Chordata; Actinopteri; Spariformes; Sparidae
Exons: 8
Source: RefSeq, a predicted model, not a curated record